Molecule: ribosomal RNA, 176 nt
Filed under: uncultured bacterium
Lineage: Bacteria
Description: partial 16S ribosomal RNA
Rfam family: Bacterial small subunit ribosomal RNA
Source: RNAcentral
ACUCCUACGGGAGGCAGCAGUGGGGAAUUUUCCGCAAUGGGCGAAAGCCUGACGGAGCAACGCCGCGUGAGGGAUGAAGGCCUCUGGGCUGUAAACCUCUUUUCUCAAGGAAGAAGAUCUGACGGUACUUGAGGAAUAAGCCACGGCUAAUUCCGUGCCAGCAGCCGCGGUAAUAC